This is a long non-coding RNA of Zea mays, 6672 nucleotides long. RefSeq lists it as uncharacterized. The transcript is spliced from 13 exons. NCBI's taxonomy places the organism in Eukaryota, Viridiplantae, Streptophyta, Magnoliopsida, Poales, Poaceae. The record is from RefSeq and is a predicted model, not a curated record.
UCCAUCUCUCUCACCCCUCUCCCUCAACCGCCCCGAUCUGGUUACCCGAGCGCGCAUGGUGGAUACGGGAACGCCGACGAGCGCGCAUGGUGGAUACGGGAACGCCGACGAGCGCGCUCGUGCUCACGCCUCUAUCUCCCCCUUCUCUCUCCCUCAACCGCCCUGAUCCAGAUACACAAGUUCAUGCGAGGCAGAGAGACGGGAGCGAUAUCCGGGAUGAUUCGGGCGAGCGCCUCACGUCCGCAGUUGUUGGGAGCUUUGCUCACCAUCUCGCGGUUGUUGGCGACGGAAGAUAGAGAAGGGCGAGCGGCCGCGCGGAACAUCGACGACCGAGAGGCACCCUCGUCUGCAACCCCAUCUGCUAUUCUCCCUGACGGCAUUCCUGGCAGCAAGGAUUGAAAGACAUGGUCCAUAUUGUGGCAACCAAGACACAAAUAAAGAACAAAUGGGACAGGUUGAAAGAAUUCAAGGCAUGGAAGAAGUUGAUGAGGCAGACAUGUACUGGUGGGUGCUCUACAAAAGGAACCAUCGAUAUGGCUGGCAGGACAUUCCAAGUUGUGGGAACUUCAAAAUAUGGAGGAACUAGAAAUAUGUUUUGGCAGCAUCACAAGUAUUGGUGUUGAUCACUGGUCUCCUCAUAUGGCCACUGCUUUCACCAUUGCUGAACAAGGAGGUACACCACACGAGGCAAUCAAUUGUGACACACAAGAAGAUGGUGACACCAAUGAAUGUGAAGUUUCACCGGUCAGUCCAAAUGACAAGAGACCGCCAACGCCAAGGUUCAAUCAAAAUAAAGGCAAGAAGCAGAAAACAGAAAACAGGGACAACACUAAUCAUCGUUCAAUAAGCAGUUACAUCUAUGUCUGUUUCAACUAAUUCUUAUGCUGCAAAAAAGGAAAAAUUUCCAUUGAUGAAGUGAUGAAACAUGUGCUUGCUUGUGGUGCCACCUAUGGUAGUAACGAGCACUUCAUUACAACUGAACUAUUUGUCAAACUGACCCAAAAAGAGAUGUUCAUGACCUUUUUUUACCGAACAUAGAUUCAACUAGCUUUCAGGGAAAUACAUAACCAAGUAUGGCAAUUAUAGAGGGCCAUGGAUGUGAUAUGAGUUCUACAUGUUUGUUUUUUUAUCUCGUUGUGUGAGACUUAUUUGUUUCUUGUUCCUUUCAUUUCUUUAUGUGAGACUCAAUGGAUCAUUGUAUCUGCUAUCUCAUUUGAUGAUGGUUAUGUAUUAUUGUACUAUUACUUGUGUUUGUAUAAAAUCUCAUAUUUGCUAUCUUAUUUGACAUUAUUAUACGUUUGUUUGAUAUGGGGGUUAAUGAAAAGGAGUUUCCUCGUCAACUACAAGGUACGAAUAUUUGUAAACUAUUUUUGUCAAUACCAUGAUUGCUUGCAUAUUAAUGUUUUAUCUUACAUUUGUAGGUAAGUACUAUAGAUGUGGGUUAUCAUAAUCGACCUAGAUAUCUAGCUCUAUAUAAAGGGUGGAAGAUACCACUUAGGGCGUGAUGGUGAGCGCCUAACAACUAUGUUCUGGAGUAGGCAGAUGCAGUGAUGCAUUAUCCUAAAACGAAACUUGCAUUCUUAUUAGGAGGUCAGACUCAUGAGCUGCCUUUUUUCUGAAAUAGUAAGUACAUGCAUCAAUUUGCUCUCAAUUACCUCAAUCUUCUUAAUGUCUCGACAUUCGUUCAUUUGCCCCAUUAACCACACAUUAAUGCUACUAAAAACAACAUUAACUGGUUACUGGCUCACAACCGUGCGCUCGCGUGAAGAUGUGUGAACAAGCAGCAGCACAAAGUUAGGGAGGAACUAACUUGGUUUUGUUUCUACAUUGGUACCUGGACUUGUGAAUCCAGCAGAAGCAGUUGGAGAGUUUGGUAAAUCUACUGGCAGCGACAAACAGGUAAUGUUGCUAUGCACCUUCCUCUCAGUCUAAUAAUAGUGAAAUUCAUGCUGAUUAAGUUGCUGCUGCAGUGAUAUAUAAUGGUCACCUAUUAUGAAGAAAUAGUGAAUGGGAGAAGGGUUGAGUUUUGGAGCCGGUGCAUGCAAAUCAUAUACCGGGUUUAUACUAUAAUGUUUUCCUUAUGAAGAAUUAAAUAUUUGUGUGUUUUUAUAUUGUCUGGGUAGUUCUGCCAAUUCAGUGUUAAUGUUGUUUGAAAUGUGCCACAACAACAUUUGACGAUUGGUCGCAGCAUCAUGUUUGAUUAAAUAUCUGACUCCUGUCAUAUGGCAACUAUCCAUUAUGACCACCUGAUGGAUACGAACCAAGCAGUUUGCGUCGCUAACUUGUUUCUGUUAUCCUUAACAUAAGUGACAUGGAGCUUGUAUAUUUUCAAUAGGCCCAAGUUAAACCUUAUUCAGUUUUGAACCGAAGGCAGAUUUCGUUUUGUAGACCUACUUAUAGGUAUACUGAUCAUUGUCCCAAUUCUAGAUCUGAUCAUUGUCCCAGUUUUAAACUGAUCAUUGUCCCUCCAAGUACCCAGUUCUGCUCAUGGGAUGUACAACAUUUCUUUUGGUCAUGAUAUUGGAAAUGUUGAUCCGACUAUCUAAGUAAACAUGUCAGCAAGUCACACAACAAUCAGCCAAGCAGAGGGAAGUAUGCUUCAUGGGCGCUCCCGGUCGACCGAUGUGGUGGUCAGGGUCGGAGCGUGCAGACUCUGCUCUCACUCACCGUGAAACAGACCAUGGACGCAGCGCAAGCCAGCGGUUGAACUAUGGUGUGGUGUUCACCGUGAAGAGCUUACAAGGAGCUCAAGAUCUUGUAAAAGAACUUUGGUGGAUUGCGAGAUAGCCCGAUAGUUAUCUUUGUAAGUAUUCUUUACUACAACCUUCAUAUAUACUUUGGUUCACAAUUAUCUAUUGAGCAUAUUGUGGUUACAGUUACCUUUUAGGUUUCUUAUCUUUGCUGAUUUGGUACUUUGCCCCCUUAUAUACAACAAGGAUCCACGAGAACGCCCUUGUCUAGCUGCAUCAGUUGUUGCGGUUCGUCCUAAACCUUGUACAUGUUACUUCCCAUUAUGAGAAAAAUAGAUGUCUGAUGUGUUUCCCUAUGCCCUGGUAAUUCAUAUAAUUGUAGAACGACUUACAAUUUGGAACAAAGAUAGUUUUUAUUGAACAUUGAGUUGUCUAAAUAUUUUACUUGUGGAUGUCAAUUUUUUGCAGCCUUCCAUUCUGAACAAAAAAUACAAUUAAUUUAAGAAUUACAGCUAAGCAACCUGGGAAAGCAAAUUUUAAAGCUACCUUUUCUGUCUGAAGAUCAUUAAGAUGCUCCUUCAAUUCCCCUAAUCUCUUCAAGGAUAAAUCAUUCUCAUCUACCACAGGAGCAGGAUCCCCAUGAUUAAUGGCUCCUGAAAUUUCUGCUCGUAGACGUACAAUCUUUGACUGAAUAGCCUUGAACUCAUUCUCAGUGUCAGUUUGAAAACUGAAAGUUUAGAGCUACAAACAGACCACAUAAACAUUUAAAUUACUAGAUGGUAGUAUAAUUAAAAUUUGAAUACUAUACAUCAAUCUAAAGUUUGUACACGAUGUUCAGUUCUAACGUUUGUUUUGUGGAUCACAUAGUUAAAUUAUUGUAUUCUUUUUUGCUUUACUGUGAUUUAGAGUUGAAGUGACAUACUAUGAUUCAAAUACACACCAACUUUUUGUGAUUCAGAAGAAGACAUACUGUGAUUCAGAAGAAGAAAACGCUAGGGAAUUUUUUCAUUGUUACUGGCCUUUUUGUAUAGGUUUUAUCUCAGUCCCGUAUGGUGGUUUAUUUUCUUUGCUUCUCAUCAACUGCAGUAUGGAAUAAAAUAACCACAUGAAGAUAGAAAAGAAGGCUUGCAGAGUAGUAUUUUCUUUUGCACUUUUGGAUCUUCUUUUUACAAAAAGUUGGGUGCACUCUUGUAAUAGGUAAACAGUGCUACGUGUGCACAGUUUAGUCAUUCAGUUUUUGAGAAUCAUAAAUUUAUUGCAUUUUGGAUAACUGGAUACAUUUAACUUGGUAAGCAAUGUUAGUACAUGCAUGCAUGGUACCUUGUGUCAUGAAAACAUAGUAUCUAUCGUACCAUACCAUUACUUUCUCUAGAAGUUUGUUUCCAAAACCACAACCAAUUUCAGUCUCUAAGCAGCCAAGUCUCAGUUUGCAUGUGAAGUGAAUCUUCUGUGCCAUGGGAGCAUAAUCAGAAACUCCACUGCUUGUAACCUGAAAUAGUUUAAUCUUUUUCUGCUUUGUACAUUUUUUAAAGUUGAUCUGACAGUGUCAAUAACUGAAUAUUGUGUUCCUUGGAGCAGUACAUAAAUAUGAAGACUCAGAAGAUCUCCAAACAUAUUAGUAAGCGAUUUACAACACCGGUUUGGAUUAAGCACAAGGAACCGAGGGAAGUGAACAUGUUUGUUGAUCUACUACUUCUUGAGGACUUCUUGAGUGAUCUUUCGGUACAUCGCUGCUGAUACAAGCAGCCUAACCAGACUGCUUUUGUGAAGGUAUGUGCGUACCUAUAUUGCUUCUUGAGGCUGGCUCAUGUGAUUGUGGUGUUUGGAAGAUACAUUAAAGUUUAAUUCGACAAAUGUCUUUUGCUUAGGGCUCCUAGCUUGGUGUUUCUUGUUCUGUGAUACUUGUGCAUGCGAAGUAGGUGAACUGCUACUUAAAUGGUACAUAUUUAGCUUAAUUACUUACUGGUGGCAUUGCAGAUUAUAUGUUUCUGUCUUAAAGAUACAUUAGUAGGCUGUAGUACUCACACUGCUUCUGUUCUCAUCUGUUCACACACUGCAUCUAUUCACAGCCUGAUUCAGAGGCAUGCAUGAGGUUGUAGUAGGCGAGACCACCCAAAAGCACUCCCAACGCCUGACCACAAGAGCUAGCAGAUAGCAGCCCUACUUUUGGCAAUCCAAUAAUCACAUACGAAGUUUUCCUUGAAAUGUUUUGAGUCUUGAAUUGACUUCUUCCUUAAUUUAUAGUUUCAACUCAAAGUGAAUACACUAUUUUUUGUUGAACCACAUUUUUCCUCUGCUCAGUUUGGCAUCAUUAUUGUAUCAUAAUAUUAUCAUAAUUAAUCCAUUCUGGUAAACUGACCCUAGAAAAUUUUCUUGAAUGGUUUCCUAUCUUUUACAGUCUAAGCUACAUUAUGUGCAGGGAAUUUUGCAAUAUACCUUCUGUUUCUUGCUCACAUGAUUGAUGUGAUUUUGAAUUCAUUUAGCACAUUGCUUUCUGAGAAGCCAUUUGCAGUACAAGGAUGAAACUUGGUCAGAGUGUUUACCAUAUGGACUGGCAGUGAAACCAAAAAAGGAGGCGCGCUACUGUUCUUCUGUAUUCAUAUCAAUGUAACAGCAGAUUACUGAUAUAGCUAUGCCUGGAGAGUGGAGAUAAGUGGAGGUGGCACCACCAAUUCCUUGAUGUACCAGGAAUGUUUGGAUUGUUGUAUUUUGACAUUGUUUAGUUCAACAUAUUCAAGGUAUGUUCCAAGGCUAUCUUAGAAAAAUUCCUGCAAAUAUUGCAUUUUGAUUCAUCUUGUUGCCCUUUUUGUUUCCGGUUUGGACCAUACUAUGAUUUCUUUGAACAAUUAGUUACUCUCUCAGUCUCCCAACCACAUCUCUCUCGGUCUUGCUUCUUGCCCGUUCCUAAUUUUGGCCAUUAUAUAUUUAUAAGGACGGGUUUGAGAAAACAUCUCUCGACAACUGAAAUUGUUGAGAAGAUUGUGUUUGCUCGUAUAUUAUUCUCGGAUCACAGCUCUAUUAACAACAAAGGUUGUGGUGGUCAUAUCACCCUUGUAAGUCUAAUUCAUGAUCAGUGCUUGAAACAUGCAAAUCACAGGUUAUCUGCAUGCUUCCUUGGAUCAGGGCAACCUGAUAGUCGCGUUGAAGCUAAAUCGAUAGCUGGCAUGUAUAAGAUUGUUUAUGUUUGCCACGAGACAAUAUUAAGAUUAAUGGAUUCGUUGAAGAAACUUGCAAAAAAGCUAGGGAUUGCACUUUUUGCCAUUGAUGAGGAAUGGUGAGGUUUAACAAACUGCAAAGAAGGGGAAGAAAGGAGGUACAUGGAAGGUUUCAAUAUAUCUGUCAACCUGUAUCAGCAUGGUCACUAGGAAUAAACUUAUAAAGAAGGGGAAGAAACAUGAAGGAAAUCUAAAAUAAGUCGUGAGAUAACUUAAGGUGCUUUUGCAGAGAAGCAGGCAAUUUGCAUCUCCCAGCAGCGAUGGUUAGAGCAUCUCAGAGCAUAAAUCUAAACCUGUCGCAAGAUCUAUUCAUGACAAUAUGAGCAGAUAUUCUUCUCUUAGUAGUUAGUUUUAAGACACAACUGAAUUCAGUAGGAUAAGCUUUCGAUACAAAACAUUCUUUAGUUCCUCAUGAGAAUGGUCAUGGCAAAUCAUUGGGCACUAAGUUGCACACGCUUGGCAGUCUGCCUUCACGUGUACUACUUAAUGGCACCGAUGGGGAUGAUCAUAGUGACCAUUUGAAGCAAGGUUUCGUGACAGGUGGUAUGGUUGCUAGAUCAUCCAAUGUUAAAUGCGAUGAAAAGGCUGUAAUUAUCAUGUCUACAAGUUUUGUCUACUGUGACAAUGUUGUUAUGGAUAAGGCUGAAGAUGAAGAACCUUAGUUGUAUUAAGUUUGUGCAGAAAGAAACUAAUCAUAAUGUAAUGGAUACCUUGGAGCAACAAGAUUCUUUUACCCAUGUGUAUUAUAAAAAAUUGUAAUUUUCAGU